CGCGUAGGCGGUUUGAUAAGUCAGAUGUGAAAGCCCGGGGCUUAACCCCGGAAGUGCAUUUGAAACUGUCGAACUUGAGUAUGGGAGAGGGAAGUGGAAUUCCUGGUGUAGAGGUGAAAUUCGUAGAUAUCAGGAGGAACACCGGUGGCGAAGGCGACUUCCUGGACCAAUACUGACGCUGAGGCGCGAAGGCGUGGGUAGCAAACA
Molecule: ribosomal RNA, 207 nt
Filed under: uncultured bacterium
Lineage: Bacteria
Description: partial 16S ribosomal RNA
Rfam family: Bacterial small subunit ribosomal RNA
Source: RNAcentral